Molecule: ribosomal RNA, 253 nt
Filed under: uncultured bacterium
Lineage: Bacteria
Description: partial 16S ribosomal RNA
Rfam family: Bacterial small subunit ribosomal RNA
Source: RNAcentral
UACGGAGGGCGCAAGCAUUAAUCGGAUUUACUGGGCGUAAAGAGUGCGUAGGCGGGUUAGCAAGUCAGGUGUGAAAUUCCGAUACUCAAUAUCGGAGCUGCACUUGAAACUACUAAUCUUGAGGAUAGGCGGAGAGAACGGAAUUCCAUAUGUAGCGGUGAAAUGCGUAGAUAUAUGGAAGAACACCUGUGGCGAAAGCGGUUCUCUAGCUUAUUUCUGACGCUGAGGCACGAGAGCGUGGGGAGCAAACAGG